Molecule: RNA transcript, 902 nt
Organism: Solanum stenotomum
Lineage: Eukaryota; Viridiplantae; Streptophyta; Magnoliopsida; Solanales; Solanaceae
Exons: 6
Source: RefSeq, a predicted model, not a curated record
CAAGAGUGCAUGAAGCAAGAGUGAUCGAGCGAGUGGUAGAUGAUUAGGGUAGCCUAGAUGGAUGUAUAUUCAUGGUUCCGACGAAGCCUCUCUAGAACUACAAAGACCACCACCACCACCACAACUGUUACUGCUCAACCGGACGACGAACUACUCUACGGCGUCACUGACCAAUUACUCGAUUUUAUCAAAUCCUUCUCCAUUGACACCUUUCGAAAUUUCUCUCUCCCAGAUGAGGACGAUGGAGAUGCACCCGAGAAUGUACGGAAAGAUCUAUCCGAUUGGCAACAGCGUCAUGCUUUGCUUGUUCUCUCCAAACUCAAGGAACUCUCACAAUUGAGGUUCAAAUUAUGUCCCCGUUUUUUAAAGGAUCACCAAUUUUGGACGAUAUAUUUUGCUCUCGUUAAGGGUUUUGUUGCCAAAUAUGAGCUACGUGCUAUACAAUUAGAUAAGCUCAAACAGAUGAGCUUAGAAAGUGAAAAUACACCAGAUGUUGCUGCAUGCGAAGUUGAGAUGUCUGAAGCGAAGAAAACAACAGAUCUAUCGCCUACAAUAUCUGAGGAGCACAAUUAGUAUCUCCUUUGGAUAUGUCACUAGUUAUCAGAUUUCAGCACAAUGAUUCAGGCUCGCGGGAAGACGUUUCACUAAGUUUCUUUGCUUUCAAUAUUGUGAUCUUAUGUCCUUCACAGAUGGUGCUGACGUCUUUGCCGCGUUGCUGACAAUCGGUGCAAGUUACAAGAAGGAGGCCAGUUGCUUUGCGUUUCUUUAAAAAAACGACUACAAAUUAUUCAUGACCACAGUUGUUUUCAUGUAUCAAACUACCACAAAGAAUUUGAGGAAAACGAAGUCUUAAGGUUCUUGUUUUCUGUUUAAGUCUCAUACUUAGUUCAUGAUAAAAUGCC